This 253-nucleotide ribosomal RNA is filed under the name uncultured bacterium. RNAcentral describes it as "partial 16S ribosomal RNA". It matches the Rfam family "Bacterial small subunit ribosomal RNA", at positions 524 to 776 of the family's 1533-position model. The record is from RNAcentral.
UACGUAGGUGGCGAGCGUUGUCCGGAUUUACUGGGCGUAAAGAGCGCGCAGGCGGUCGUACAAGUCGCGUGUGAAAGCCCCUGGCUCAACUGGGGAGGGUCACGCGAUACUGUUCGACUCGAAGGCAGGAGAGGGAAGUGGAAUUCCCGGUGUAGUGGUGAAAUGCGUAGAUAUCGGGAGGAACACCAGUGGCGAAGGCGACUUCCUGGCCUGUUCUUGACGCUGAGGCGCGAAAGCUAGGGUAGCAAACGGG